CCUUCGAUAGCUCAGUUGGUAGAGCGGUGGACUGUAGACGAAGAAACGCGUGCAAACUGUCUCAAGUGCAGCUUACACACGAGAAGCAGCAGUUAUCCAUAGGUCACUGGUUCAAAUCCGGUUCGAAGGA
Molecule: transfer RNA, 130 nt
Filed under: Culex quinquefasciatus (southern house mosquito)
Lineage: Eukaryota; Metazoa; Arthropoda; Insecta; Diptera; Culicidae
Rfam family: tRNA
About the family: Transfer RNA (tRNA) molecules are approximately 80 nucleotides in length. Their secondary structure includes four short double-helical elements and three loops (D, anti-codon, and T loops).
Source: Rfam by way of RNAcentral